RNAcentral lists this ribosomal RNA (434 nucleotides) under uncultured Oscillospiraceae bacterium. Its description in RNAcentral is "bacterial SSU rRNA". It matches the Rfam family "Bacterial small subunit ribosomal RNA", at positions 341 to 792 of the family's 1533-position model. The record is from RNAcentral. Lineage: Bacteria; Bacillati; Bacillota; Clostridia; Eubacteriales; Oscillospiraceae.
ACGGAAGGCAGCAGUGGGGAAUAUUGGACAAUGGGCGCAAGCCUGAUCCAGCGACGCCGCGUGAGUGAAGAAGUAUUUCGGUAUGUAAAGCUCUAUCAGCAGGGAAGAUAAUGACGGUACCUGACUAAGAAGCCCCGGCUAACUACGUGCCAGCAGCCGCGGUAAUACGUAGGUGGCAAGCGUUGUCCGGAUUUACUGGGUGUAAAGGGUGCGCAGGCGGGACUGCAAGUUGGAUGUGAAAUACCGGGGCUUAACCCCGGAACUGCAUCCAAAACUGUGGUUCUUGAGUGGAGUAGAGGUAAGCGGAAUUCCGAGUGUAGCGGUGAAAUGCGUAGAUAUUCGGAGGAACACCAGUGGCGAAGGCGGCUUACUGGGCUCUAACUGACGCUGAGGCACGAAAGUGUGGGUAGCAAACAGGAUUAGAUACCCUGGUA